GGAUUCCCCUAGUAACUGCGAGUGAAGCGGGAAAAGCUCAAAUUUAAAAUCUGGCGGUCUUUGGCUGUCCGAGUUGUAGUCUGGAGAAGUGCUUUCCGUGCUGGACCGUGUAUAAGUCUCUUGGAACAGAGCGUCAUAGAGGGUGAGAAUCCCGUCUUUGACACGGACUACCAGUGCUUUGUGAUGCGCUCUCAAAGAGUCGAGUUGUUUGGGAAUGCAGCUCAAAAUGGGUGGUAAAUUCCAUCUAAAGCUAAAUAUUGGCGAGAGACCGAUAGCGAACAAGUACCGUGAGGGAAAGAUGAAAAGCACUUUGGAAAGAGAGUUAAACAGUACGUGAAAUUGCUGAAAGGGAAACGCUUGAAGUCAGUCGCGUUGUUUGGAACUCAACCUCGCUUUUGCUUGGUGCACUUUCCAAACGACGGGCCAGCAUCGAUUUUGACCGUUGGAAAAGGGUCCGAGGAAUGUGGCACUUUCGGGUGUGUUAUAGCCUCUGGUCGCAUACAACGGUUGGGAUUGAGGACCGCAGCGCGCCGCAAGGCAGGGGUUUUACCCACUUUCGCGCUUAGGAUGCUGGCAUAAUGGCUUUAAGCGACCCGUCUUGAAACACGGACCAAGGAGUCUAACAUGCCUGCGAGUGUUUGGGUGGAAAACCCGAGCGCGUAAUGAAAGUGAAAG
This 675-nucleotide ribosomal RNA is filed under the name Polyporus guianensis. Its description in RNAcentral is "eukaryotic LSU rRNA". It matches the Rfam family "Eukaryotic large subunit ribosomal RNA", at positions 72 to 731 of the family's 3401-position model. The record is from RNAcentral. Lineage: Eukaryota; Fungi; Basidiomycota; Agaricomycetes; Polyporales; Polyporaceae.